GAUAAAAUGCAUGAUGUCACUGU
This 23-nucleotide microRNA is filed under the name Plutella xylostella (diamondback moth). RNAcentral's name for it is "pxy-miR-8497". The record is from miRBase by way of RNAcentral. Lineage: Eukaryota; Metazoa; Arthropoda; Insecta; Lepidoptera; Plutellidae.